AAAUUUAAUUUAAAAUUAGAUAUGAUAUUUUGAAUUAAAAAUAAAUUAAAAUUUUGAUGCUUUUAGAUUAAAAUAUAUAUCCAAUAUUCUAAAUAUCCUUUCUAACGAGUGAUACUUGCUACCUAUCAUCUCUUUUCAUCUUUCUCAGAUAUCGAGCAUAUCUUGAUAAAUAUCCUAACAUAAUUUAAUCUCACAAUCUUCUUAUUCUUAUCCCAAUCUUAUAUAUAUACUUAUUCUUUUUCUCACGUAAUACCCGCUACUUAUGCAUUUGUAAUUGCAUAGGUAGCGCCGGCAUAUCAUUGUUGUCAUCUCCACCGGCACAUCUUUAAUCCUCCUUUUCGCCGGCACAACU
RNAcentral lists this long non-coding RNA (352 nucleotides) under Ananas comosus (pineapple). Its description in RNAcentral is "long non-coding RNA (ACOM_LNC001611)". The record is from RNAcentral. Lineage: Eukaryota; Viridiplantae; Streptophyta; Magnoliopsida; Poales; Bromeliaceae.